Molecule: microRNA precursor, 86 nt
Filed under: Solanum tuberosum (potato)
Lineage: Eukaryota; Viridiplantae; Streptophyta; Magnoliopsida; Solanales; Solanaceae
Description: MIR8024 microRNA precursor family
Rfam family: MIR8024 microRNA precursor family
Source: Rfam by way of RNAcentral
UUGGAGGAUUUGAAGACUUCAACUUGCUUACUUGGAGGAUUUGAAGACCUCGACUUUCAUACUUGAAAAAUUUGAAGACUUCAACU